RNAcentral lists this ribosomal RNA (867 nucleotides) under Salmonella enterica subsp. enterica serovar Infantis. RNAcentral's name for it is "partial 23S ribosomal RNA". It matches the Rfam family "Bacterial large subunit ribosomal RNA", at positions 711 to 1576 of the family's 2925-position model. Lineage: Bacteria; Pseudomonadati; Pseudomonadota; Gammaproteobacteria; Enterobacterales; Enterobacteriaceae. The record is from RNAcentral.
AGACCCGAAACCCGGUGAUCUAGCCAUGGGCAGGUUGAAGGUUGGGUAACACUAACUGGAGGACCGAACCGACUAAUGUUGAAAAAUUAGCGGAUGACCUGUGGCUGGGGGUGAAAGGCCAAUCAAACCGGGAGAUAGCUGGUUCUCCCCGAAAGCUAUUUAGGUAGCGCCUCGUGAAUUCAUCUCCGGGGGUAGAGCACUGUUUCGGCUAGGGGGCCAUCCCGGCUUACCAACCCGAUGCAAACUGCGAAUACCGGAGAAUGUUAUCACGGGAGACACACGGCGGGUGCUAACGUCCGUCGUGAAGAGGGAAACAACCCAGACCGCCAGCUAAGGUCCCAAAGUCAUGGUUAAGUGGGAAACGAUGUGGGAAGGCCCAGACAGCCAGGAUGUUGGCUUAGAAGCAGCCAUCAUUUAAAGAAAGCGUAAUAGCUCACUGGUCGAGUCGGCCUGCGCGGAAGAUGUAACGGGGCUAAACCAUGCACCGAAGCUGCGGCAGCGACACUCAGGUGUUGUUGGGUAGGGGAGCGUUCUGUAAGCCUGCGAAGGUGGCCUGUGAGGGUUGCUGGAGGUAUCAGAAGUGCGAAUGCUGACAUAAGUAACGAUAAAGCGGGUGAAAAGCCCGCUCGCCGGAAGACCAAGGGUUCCUGUCCAACGUUAAUCGGGGCAGGGUGAGUCGACCCCUAAGGCGAGGCCGAAAGGCGUAGUCGAUGGGAAACGGGUUAAUAUUCCCGUACUUGGUGUUACUGCGAAGGGGGGACGGAGAAGGCUAUGUUGGCCGGGCGACGGUUGUCCCGGUUUAAGCGUGUAGGUGUGUGUUCCAGGUAAAUCCGGUUCACUUUAACACUGAGGCGUGAUGACGAGGCA